RNAcentral lists this ribosomal RNA (443 nucleotides) under uncultured bacterium. RNAcentral's name for it is "partial 16S ribosomal RNA". It matches the Rfam family "Bacterial small subunit ribosomal RNA", at positions 338 to 795 of the family's 1533-position model. The record is from RNAcentral.
CCUACGGGGGGCAGCAGUGGGGAAUAUUGCACAAUGGGCGAAAGCCUGAUGCAGCAACGCCGCGUGAAGGAAGAAGGGUUUCGGCUCGUAAACUUCUAUCAACAGGGACGAAAGAAAUGACGUUACUUGAAUAAGAAGCCCCGGUUAACUACGUGCCAGCAGCCGCGGUAAUCCGUAGGGGGCAAGCGUUUUCCGGAUGUACUGGGUGUAAAGGGUGAGUAGGCGGGAUGGUAAGCCAGAUGUGAAAGCCUUGGGCUUAACCCGGGGACUGCAUUUGGAACUAGCAAGCUAGAGUACAGGAGAGGAAAGCGGAAUUCCUGGUGUAGCGGUGAAAUGCGUAGAUAUUAGGAAGAACACCAGUGGCGAAGGCGGCUUUCUGGACUGAAACUGACGCUGAGGCGCGAAAGCGUGGGGAGCGAACAGGAUUAGAUACCCGUGUAGUC